CUAGGCUAUACCAUUCAUUCAUCACACUAUGUUUCCAUACUUUCACAGGGGCAUAUGUUCCUUGUAUGUGCAAUUGUAUUAUACUUAUUUGUUUAUGUGCUGCAAAAUUACAUAAACACUUUUAAGUUUGAAAAAAAUUGCACAAAAUUAUUACACCACAGAAUGUAUGUAACAAGUAUCAUGGAAAAAAAAAUUAUGCCGC
This 202-nucleotide long non-coding RNA is filed under the name Mytilus galloprovincialis (Mediterranean mussel). The record is from RNAcentral. Lineage: Eukaryota; Metazoa; Mollusca; Bivalvia; Mytilida; Mytilidae.